GUGGCUCAGUGAUAUAGUGCUUGCCUUGCAUGCAUGAGGCCCUGGGUUCGAUUCCUAGC
RNAcentral lists this transfer RNA (59 nucleotides) under Dipodomys ordii (Ord's kangaroo rat). It matches the Rfam family "tRNA", at positions 7 to 64 of the family's 71-position model. Rfam says of the family: Transfer RNA (tRNA) molecules are approximately 80 nucleotides in length. The record is from Rfam by way of RNAcentral. Lineage: Eukaryota; Metazoa; Chordata; Mammalia; Rodentia; Heteromyidae.